Molecule: long non-coding RNA, 2749 nt
Organism: Bombus huntii
Lineage: Eukaryota; Metazoa; Arthropoda; Insecta; Hymenoptera; Apidae
Exons: 3
Source: RefSeq, a predicted model, not a curated record
CGUAUUAUUUAUAGCUUUUUAUUGAAAAUCUUCUUCAAGAUUUUCUUUAAUUCUUUUACUUUCAACGUCAAAAUAAAAGAAAAUCCUAUAAAUCACUAAUUAAUCAUUACUCGAUAUUCUACGACGCUGAUUUCGAAAAGUAUGCCAGAUUCACAAAAGAGCAAAGGAUGAGAAAGCCUCGAUCCUGGCACCCACCGGUGCUUGUCACGGCUAGUUUGUUCCAAAACGUGUUAUUACCCCAUAACGAUGCCAAUAAAUAACGAAAGGCACGAAAGGCUUGGCCCCGCGAUUCGACACGCUCGCUUUCGACCGGCGAUAAAGGGUUUGCGCGAGCUCCCGUUCGAAUCAGCGAGACGAAUCCGCGCACCGCCUCAUAAAUGUUCCACAUAACGUUCAACGUUCAUCUCUCUACCUUCUACGAACAUUCUGUAUCACGAUCGCCCACGGGAAAGUACACUUUUCCCAUAAAAAUCUUCUCAAUUAUUAAAAUCUAUUAACUAUUAUAUAAUAUUAUAUAAAAUUAUUUGAUAUAUUAUAUUAAAACACGAAAAUAACGUAAUGUGUAAUAUUUGUAUCUAUAUAGAGAACUUUGUUCUAAAUUUGGAAACCUUCGCGAGCACGUGUAUACAGAUUCUCCUGUUAACGUUUAACUUCACCUACGAAAAAUUUUCCAAAUUUUAAUUUCUGCAAAUCUUCUUUUCCUGGAUUGAUAGCUUUCAUUAUUAAAUGUUCAUCUUUGUGAAAAAAAUAUUUCUUUUUAAAAAUAUCUUUCGUAUUUAUAAAUAUUGAGAAGGAGGGGAAGUAUCGAUGAUGGUGUGGCGAUCCCUUUAUCGUGUGGCACGUGACGUCGGAUCAAAUAUUUCUCGACGUGCUCUUUUUUUUCUCACGAGCCUACCACCUUUGACCAGGACGAAAGCCCGUGACGAACGAGCCGUGAAAAUGCCGAGUAGUUAUAUGCAAACUGUGCUGCAUUACGACACCGAGAUGUGUAUAUUUAGCUGACGAUUUCCUGGCUGGAUUCACCCUUUCGAUAGUUGUCCAACCAUAACUCGAAAGUACCAUAAUCAGUGCGAAUUCAUGACAAGUUUGGCUUUCGAGAUUCAAAGUUCGAUUUUCAACAAAUGAUAUCUGUUUUAAGAGAAUUUAUUUGUCUUUACCAUUAAUCUGUAUACAAUACAAUAAUCUUAAUACAUACACUGGCAAAUAUAUUUUUUCACAUUUCUUUCAGAAGUAGAUUGUUUAUGCACAAGACUAAUUUUAUUACUGUGUUAGGCUUUAAGAACACUCUGAGAAGGAAAGAUUAUCUGACACGAUUAAAUGAUGAAAGAAACACACGUUAUUAAACUAGAUUGAUCUUAAUUGUCUCGUUUCGCGAUAUGUAUUUAUCGGCAGUAAAAUCUUCAUUAGAGCUACUUUAUAUUCCUAAAAGUCACAGUUUUCUCAUAAAUUUCACGAUCAACGAAAGUGUACGACUUGAUAAUUAGUUUCUUUUCGUUUCAAGCUGAUCAUAGAGCGAAACAAAGGCAGAAAACGGUAAUAGAUAGAGAAAAAUGGGUACGAAGACACACGAACUCAAUUAUUGCGUCGAGUAAUUGCGAAUGGCAGCUGCUGAGCGACCAACAAAUUAGUCUGAAUUCACUUUUACGGUAUCGGUUAAUUUCUGAACGGACGUGGUCAACAACCAUAAACGCUCAGGAAAAAGCAGAAGAAACGAGAAACUUGUACUUGCGUGUUAACAAAAUAUCUACCUGCACGUAACAUUCUUUUGUCUUAAUGACUUUCCAAAUACUCAUUCGUGCUCGGUAAAUUUUUAUAUCCUAAUUGAAAUUUGAAAAUAAAAAUGCUAAUGUACGACUAGUGACUUCUAAUUAGUUUUGAUUAGAAUGUAACGUGUGAUAAUAUGUAAGACAUAAAUUAAGCCUCAAAUAUUUUUAUAGUCAAUGAUAAACAUGGUAAUCGAUAAAUUUUUAGAUCCUAAUUGAGGUUUAAAAUGAAAUGGUAAUUUAUGUGUGUGUAGUAAUUUCUAGUUCAUUCUGAUUAGAAUAUUACGUCAAUAUUAACUUCCAAUUAAUUCCAAUUAGGACGUACCAUUGGUGAUAAAAUGCAAGACCUUAACCAAUUAUAAGAUUUGAAAGAUUUGUAUAAUCACAUAUAAGGAAUCAAUAGAUCCUCACUAAGAUUUAAAAUGAAAAUGCAAUGACAAAUAAGGAGGCAAAACGCGGAGACCGAUGAUGGUCGCAAUAAGUGGCGGCGUAACGAACAGGACGGCAAUUUUCCGGACUGGACGAUUAAGACGGAGCAACGAGAUAUAUGUGGCGCGCAAUCCACUCGACGUUAAUAGGCGUGUACAAUUUAUAAUGCGCAUUGUGUGCGUAAUUAGAGGAAGAAUGGGCAGGAAGAAAUGGAUAACCAAUGCACAUGUGAAAGGAAAUGCUCGUUUCUCGUCACGACAGCGCAAUAGCAACAGCUUGUAACUGAGCACCGGUUAAUUACACUGUUUCGAGCAUCGAUCGAACGAGCUAUUGCCAUUCUUCCGCUCCUUAUCUAAAGCUGUUGUCAAAAAAUAAUUUACAAUCCAAUUAUUAUCGUGUUAAUAUUUGGAAUGACAAUUUUUUCAUACUUUGAAUAAACACCAAUAUCAAUAACGUUUACGAACGAAAGUAUGCUUUUCAAGAAUGCGUCACAGCCAUAUCCAACUUCCUACGCCAUCAUUAAUAUUCAUGAUCGGCUGUCAGUGCCAAGAAAGAAA